UACGUAGGGUGCAAGCGUUGUCCGGAAUUAUUGGGCGUAAAGAGCUCGUAGGCGGCUUGUCGCGUCGACUGUGAAAUCCCGGGGCUUAACUUCGGGCGUGCAGUCGAUACGGGCUGGCUUGAGUGCGGUAGGGGAGACUGGAACUCCUGGUGUAGCGGUGGAAUGCGCAGAUAUCAGGAAGAACACCAACGGCGAAGGCAGCUCGCUGGGACGGAACUGACGCUAAGGCGCGAAAGCGUGGGGAGCGAACAGG
RNAcentral lists this ribosomal RNA (253 nucleotides) under uncultured bacterium. Its description in RNAcentral is "partial 16S ribosomal RNA". It matches the Rfam family "Bacterial small subunit ribosomal RNA", at positions 524 to 776 of the family's 1533-position model. The record is from RNAcentral.